RNAcentral lists this ribosomal RNA (471 nucleotides) under uncultured bacterium. Its description in RNAcentral is "SSU rRNA". It matches the Rfam family "Bacterial small subunit ribosomal RNA", at positions 26 to 518 of the family's 1533-position model. The record is from RNAcentral.
AGGACGAACGCUGGCGGCGUGCUUAACACAUGCAAGUCGAGCGGAAAGGCCCUUCGGGGUACUCGAGCGGCGAACGGGUGAGUAACACGUGAGCAACCUGCCCUUAGCUCUGGGAUAGCUCCGGGAAACCGGAAUUAAUACCGGAUAUGACCUAGGCCGACAUCGGCCGUGGUGGAAAGUUUUUCGGCUAGGGAUGGACUCGCGGCCUAUCAGCUAGUUGGUGGGGUAAUGGCCUACCAAGGCGACGACGGGUAGCCGGCCUGAGAGGGCGACCGGCCACACUGGGACUGAGACACGGCCCAGACUCCUACGGGAGGCAGCAGUGGGAAUCUUGCGCAAUGGGCGAAAGCCUGACGCAGCGACGCCGCGUGGGGAUGAAGGCCUUCGGGUUGUAACCCCUUUCAGCAGGGACGAAGCGAAAGUGACGGUACCUGCAGAAGAAGCGCCGGCUAACUACGCGCCAGCAGCCGC